AACUGGAUGACUGAGAAUCUCCAUAGACAGAGAAAGUAUCCUUCAAAAAGAUUGGAUGAGAGAAUGAAGAUCUGGGGGUCACUUGUCUUCUGCAGGAAAUGGUCCAGGAGAGAAUGCAGGGAGGUGCUGAAGGCUAAAGUGUUGUUAUUUGAUAAAGGUGUUCUCUAACACAGAAAGGAUUGGGCAAAAGCUUGAUGACUUGUGUUAAAUCUUUGCCAAGUCAUGGUUGUUCCUCUCUGUGGACCUUGACUUCAGCCUAUUAGCUUAAUGCCAGCUGCCUCCCAUUGUACAACUUCUAUGUUCCUUCCUUGGUUCAUCCACGUCACUAAAUAAUAAUAAUAAAAAUGUCCUGACUCUCCUAAAUCCAGACUUUUGCCCUAGAACAUCACUGAUGACAUUUGAACAUUGUACUGUUGACCCAGCUCUGCAAGCUUCCUGUUUCAUGUGAAAGUUGCUUUGGGAGCCUGAUUUUUGCCAAUCUGGUUCACUUGAAAGCAGGCUACAUGAGUUUCUACAAAAGCUUCCUGCAAGUAUAACAACCGAGGGACUUGAUCAAAGCUUAAUUUGAGAAGGAUUCAAAAAAACCCCUGAUGGAUAGAGAUGGAAGCAGCAGUUAUCAAGCAAACACUGUGGUCAUAAAGAGAACCCAUGAAGCCACAGUUUUGUUGAAAACUGAAAGCAAAUGGCAGCUUUGGGCAAAACCAUCACAAAGCUCUGUCAUGUGACCAUCAGACUCUGCAAAUGGCCAUAAAUGUGGCCAUGUUACCAAGCAACCAAAGUGAGGUCAUAUGACCAUGGAAGGCACUCCACCAUCAGAACUUCAGAACUGGGAUGUCAGUAGCCUCAAGGCAGGUCCUUGGAAGUUGUAUUCUACCUAUAGUUGAUGCUCCUGACAUGUCUAAAUUUCGGAUUUGGGUUUUAA
This is a long non-coding RNA of Crotalus tigris (Tiger rattlesnake), 922 nucleotides long. RefSeq lists it as uncharacterized. The record is from RefSeq and is a predicted model, not a curated record. NCBI's taxonomy places the organism in Eukaryota, Metazoa, Chordata, Lepidosauria, Squamata, Viperidae. The transcript is spliced from 2 exons.